RNAcentral lists this transfer RNA (76 nucleotides) under Acidobacteria bacterium Mor1. Its description in RNAcentral is "tRNA-Thr". It matches the Rfam family "tRNA". From Rfam's summary of the family: Transfer RNA (tRNA) molecules are approximately 80 nucleotides in length. Their secondary structure includes four short double-helical elements and three loops (D, anti-codon, and T loops). Further hydrogen bonds mediate the characteristic L-shaped molecular structure. tRNAs have two regions of fundamental functional importance: the anti-codon, which is responsible for specific mRNA codon recognition, and the 3' end, to which the tRNAs corresponding amino acid is attached (by aminoacyl-tRNA synthetases). tRNAs cope with the degeneracy of the genetic code in two manners: having more than one tRNA (with a specific anti-codon) for a particular amino acid; and 'wobble' base-pairing, i.e. permitting non-standard base-pairing at the 3rd anti-codon position. The record is from RNAcentral. Lineage: Bacteria; Pseudomonadati; Acidobacteriota.
GCUGGCGUAGCUCAGUUGGUAGAGCAGCGGUUUUGUAAACCGCCGGUCGGGGGUUCGAGUCCCUUCGCCAGCUCCA